CAAUAGCGUAUAUUAAAGUUGUUGCAGUUAAAAAGCUCGUAGUUGGAUUUGUGGUGUACUUUGGCGGCCCGUCACUAUGUGAUGGAGCUUGCUGAAGUCGCCAUCCUUGGGUGGAUCCUGUGUGGCAUUAAGUUGUCGUGCAGGGGAUGCCCAUCGUUUACUGUGAAAAAAUUAGAGUGUUCAAAGCAGGCUUAUGCCGUUGAAUAUAUUAGCAUGGAAUAAUAAGAUAGGACCUUGGUACUAUUUUGUUGGUUUGCGCACCAAGGUAAUGAUUAAUAGGGACAGUUGGGGGUAUUCGUAUUUCAUUGUCAGAGGUGAAAUUCUUGGAUUUUUGAAAGACGAACUACUGCGAAAGCAUUUACCAAGGAUGUUUUCAUUAA
This 380-nucleotide ribosomal RNA is filed under the name uncultured eukaryote. RNAcentral describes it as "partial 18S ribosomal RNA". It matches the Rfam family "Eukaryotic small subunit ribosomal RNA", at positions 592 to 976 of the family's 1831-position model. The record is from RNAcentral.